GACGAACGCUGGCGGCGUGCUUAACACAUGCAAGUCGAGCGGUAAGGCCCUUUGGGGUACACGAGCGGCGAACAGGUGAGUAACACGUGAGUAAUCUGCCUUUGGCUUGGGAAUAACUUCGGGAAAUCGGGGCUAAUGCCUGAUGUUUACUGUCUGCUGCAUGGUGGGUGGUGGAAAGUAUUUUUUGGCCAGGGAUGAGCUCGCGGUCUAUCAGCUUGUUGGUGGGGUAAUGGCUUACCAAGGCUUUGACGGGUAGCCGGCCUGAGAGGGUGUUCGGCCACACUGGGACUGAGACACGGCCCAGACUCCUACGGGAGGCAGCAGGUGGGGAAUAUUGCGCAAUGGGCGUAAGCCUGACGCAGCGACGCCGCGUGGGGAUGAAGGCC
RNAcentral lists this ribosomal RNA (386 nucleotides) under uncultured bacterium. RNAcentral's name for it is "bacterial SSU rRNA". It matches the Rfam family "Bacterial small subunit ribosomal RNA", at positions 28 to 416 of the family's 1533-position model. The record is from RNAcentral.